GAUCAUGGCUCAGGACGAACGCUGGCGGCGUGCUUAACACAUGCAAGUCGAACGAAGAGCGAUGGAAGCUUGCUUCUAUCAAUCUUAGUGGCGAACGGGUGAGUAACGCGUAAUCAACCCGCCCUUCAGAGGGGGACAACAGUUGGAAACGACUGCUAAUACCGCAUACGAUCUAACCUCGGCAUCGAGGAAAGAUGAAAUGUGGCCUCUAUUUAUAAGCUAUCACUGAAGGAGGGG
Molecule: ribosomal RNA, 237 nt
Filed under: uncultured bacterium
Lineage: Bacteria
Description: partial 16S ribosomal RNA
Rfam family: Bacterial small subunit ribosomal RNA
Source: RNAcentral